AAAAUUACAAAAGUGAUUAUGAUGAAUUCUAACCCCCUUACCUUAGUAGGUUAAUCUCUCUAGCUUAGGCUUCAAUUUUGCUCCUAGCUCUUCCCCCAACCCUUGAUUCUUCAAGUCCUCUUCUCUCUACCCUUUUCUCCACUUUCUCUCUCUAUUCACUCUCAAAAAUAUCUUAUGAAGGAAAGUGUGAGGAAAUUCUCAUAAAGUAGGUUUUUAUACUAAGUCUCCUUAUUGGGCCUAACCCUCCACUUAAUGGACUUAACUCAUUUCUAUUCACAUCUCAAAU
Molecule: long non-coding RNA, 286 nt
Filed under: Medicago truncatula (barrel medic)
Lineage: Eukaryota; Viridiplantae; Streptophyta; Magnoliopsida; Fabales; Fabaceae
Description: long non-coding RNA (MTRU_LNC007376)
Source: RNAcentral